UACGUAGGGGGCAAGCGUUGUCCGGAUUCAUUGGGCGUAAAGAGCGUGUAGGCGGCCAGGUAGGUCGGUUGUGAAAACUGGAGGCUCAACCUUCAGACGUCGACCGAAACCAUCUGGCUAGAGUCCGGGAGAGGAGAGUGGAAUUCCUGGUGUAGCGGUGAAAUGCGCAGAUAUCAGGAGGAACACCGAUGGCGAAGGCAGGUCUCUGGGCCGAUACUGACACUGAGGAGCGAAAGCGUGGGGAGCGAACAGG
RNAcentral lists this ribosomal RNA (253 nucleotides) under uncultured bacterium. RNAcentral describes it as "partial 16S ribosomal RNA". It matches the Rfam family "Bacterial small subunit ribosomal RNA", at positions 524 to 776 of the family's 1533-position model. The record is from RNAcentral.